UACGUAGGGGGCAAGCGUUGUCCGGAAUCAUUGGGCGUAAAGCGCGUGUAGGCGGUCCGGUAAGUCCGCUGUGAAAGUCGGGGGCUCAACCCUCGAAAGCCGGUGGAAACUGUCGGGCUAGAGUGCGGAAGAGGCGAGUGGAAUUCCUGGUGUAGCGGUGAAAUGCGCAGAUAUCAGGAGGAACACCAAUUGCGAAGGCAGCUCGCUGGGACGUUACUGACGCUGAGACGCGAAAGCGUGGGGAGCAAACAGG
RNAcentral lists this ribosomal RNA (253 nucleotides) under uncultured bacterium. RNAcentral describes it as "partial 16S ribosomal RNA". It matches the Rfam family "Bacterial small subunit ribosomal RNA", at positions 524 to 776 of the family's 1533-position model. The record is from RNAcentral.